Molecule: long non-coding RNA, 1303 nt
Organism: Asterias rubens (European starfish)
Lineage: Eukaryota; Metazoa; Echinodermata; Asteroidea; Forcipulatida; Asteriidae
Exons: 4
Source: RefSeq, a predicted model, not a curated record
GCAGCACCAACAGGUCUUCGAAGUCAGAACAACUGCCUAAAUUUCCCUUUUUGAGAAGUGGCUGAAGCAUUACAAGAUGGUGUUUCUUGUAAGUGAACAGAUAAUUCACUAUGAAGAUGCCUUCAAUCUGCGUCUCCUUUUUGAAGAUUACGACAGUCCGCACAGUUGAGAUGACCUUGGAAGAUACACAACAUGAUGUCUAAUGAAGGCCCGCAGGAAGAUACAGUGCACUUCCAUCUCAUUUGAAGACUAAGAGACGGACAAACAAACGGCCUGUACAGGACAAUGUGGAAGGUGGCAUCUUUCAAUGAUGGUUUCCUUGACAUUCUUCACUUGAUUGUGUCCGGCCAUCAUGAUCUUCAAGAUACACCAAGAUUGGAAUGAAGCGAUCGUCAGAUUUGAUUGAACCUCGGUAACAAGGACAAGCUGUACUUGUGUUUUGUAGUGACCACCAUCUAACUAUCACAAAAACAUUUGUCUUCAAGUUAUCUUAUGAUUGUGGAGUACGCUGGAUGUCUUUACAAUGUUGCCAUUAACUUUAGGUCGGACCCUUGCCUUCACGAACAUUUCAAACUCUCUGCCACAGACUCUGAAUAAUCUAUGUCAUAUGACCAUCAUGUGACCACCAUGUGACCAGCACAAUGCAUCACCAGUUGUCUGAUGAAGUCCAUAGUAAGUUGCAGCCUUUGAUUCAUUUUCUAAACCUUUAUCAAAGUGGAUGCAUCUUAGUUUUUGCUGUUCACAUCACCAAAGUGGCACUGAGAUCAAGAAUAAGAAUUAAAAUGGCAGAAGUACAGAGUGUAAAGUUCUUUAUACCCUGUUCACACAACCCUAGGACCUUAUGAAUACCAUGCCGAUCACCGCGAUCUCAAAAAUGUUUUAAGUUGGGACACAAUCACCGUCAAAAUCAAGCAAUAAUGCAAAUUAAAGAUUGCACGCAACAUUUUCAUUUCAAUGCAUUUAUUUAGUACCAAAGUUCUGCUUCUAUGACAACACUGUUGCUGACUCGCUGUCACUACGACUACACCUGGACUAAUGUCGACCUAGUACAUGUAGUUUUCUACUUUGAAAUGGUUGCCGACAGUGCUGGAAUCUCACCACGAUGCUCGCUCAUUGUUAAAAAAAAGUGUGGUGAGAGAAUGCAGCCAAACCACGCUCAUGGACAUCCUCCCACGUUUGGCCCACGAUUGGUCCGCGAUUGGCCUCGUUCUCGGCUACUUUUUUAUGUCGUGUGUGUGUGUGAACGGGGUAUAAAGGGAAGGUAUGCAUUUGGUAAGGAAACAUUUUGGUUAGAAGCCUACAG